This 464-nucleotide unclassified non-coding RNA is filed under the name Hevea brasiliensis (rubber tree). Lineage: Eukaryota; Viridiplantae; Streptophyta; Magnoliopsida; Malpighiales; Euphorbiaceae. The record is from RNAcentral.
AAGCCAGAGGCAUGCAAGUCCCUACUUGUGCAUUGAUAUCAAGAUGAACCAUUUGUUUCAUCAUCUUGUCCCGCAAUGAAUCAGUAUCAGCAGUGGAGAAACUGCGAUCAGCAUUGUCAAUGGAAAGGAAGGAAGCAGGUUGCACAAGUCUCUUCACAAGAGGCAAUGAAGCUGCAUGAACUCUCCAUAGAGCCAUCACUUUGUAUCAGGUGAGUCUGGGACCCCUUGUGCGUGGAUCUACGGCUAUAGAAGCAGCGGCGGAUGCAGGGCGGAUGAGCAGUGGCGAGUCGGGGACGCCUUGCCUCUGUGCAGCGCCGAGGUUGACGAGCAGGCGACGGUGUCCUGUGCCGUGGCGAGAUUAAGGGGUGCGGAAUUCUGUGCAGUGGGGUAGACUGAGAGGGUUUAGGUUUAGAAUGCGUUGGCGUAAACGACGACGUAGGAAUAGUGCUUUUUUACUUCCGUUC